GUCGAACGGCAGCAUGAUCUAGCUUGCUAGAUUGAUGGCGAGUGGCGAACGGGUGAGUAAUACAUCGGAACGUGCCCUGUAGUGGGGGAUAACUAGUCGAAAGAUUAGCUAAUACCGCAUACGACCUGAGGGUGAAAGUGGGGGACCGCAAGGCCUCAUGCUAUAGGAGCGGCCGAUGUCUGAUUAGCUAGUUGGUGAGGUAAAGGCUCACCAAGGCGACGAUCAGUAGCUGGUCUGAGAGGACGAUCAGCCACACCGGGACUGAGACACGGCCCAGACUCCUACGGGAGGCAGCAGUGGGGAAUUUUGGACAAUGGGCGAAAGCCUGAUCCAGCAAUGCCGCGUGUGUGAAGAAGGCCUUCGGGUUGUAAAGCACUUUUGUCCGGAAAGAAAUGGCUCUGGUUAAUACCUGGGGUCGAUGACGGUACCGGAAGAAUAAGGACCGGCUAACUACGUGCCAGCAGCCGCGGUAAUACGUAGGGUCCAAGCGUUAAUCGGAAUUACUGGGCGUAAAGCGUGCGCAGGCGGUUGUGCAAGACCGAUGUGAAAUCCCCGAGCUUAACUUGGGAAUUGCAUUGGUGACUGCACGGCUAGAGUGUGUCAGAGGGGGGUAGAAUUCCACGUGUAGCAGUGAAAUGCGUAGAGAUGUGGAGGAAUACCGAUGGCGAAG
This 670-nucleotide ribosomal RNA is filed under the name uncultured Ralstonia sp. Its description in RNAcentral is "bacterial SSU rRNA". It matches the Rfam family "Bacterial small subunit ribosomal RNA", at positions 61 to 720 of the family's 1533-position model. Lineage: Bacteria; Pseudomonadati; Pseudomonadota; Betaproteobacteria; Burkholderiales; Burkholderiaceae. The record is from RNAcentral.